RNAcentral lists this ribosomal RNA (544 nucleotides) under uncultured bacterium. Its description in RNAcentral is "bacterial SSU rRNA". It matches the Rfam family "Bacterial small subunit ribosomal RNA", at positions 353 to 889 of the family's 1533-position model. The record is from RNAcentral.
AGUGGGAAUUUUGGACAAUGGGCGCAAGCCUGAUCCAGCCAUGCCGCGUGAGUGAAGAAGGCCUUCGGGUUGUAAAGCUCUUUAGUCCGGGACGAAAUCGCACGCGUGAAUAUCGCGGGUGGAUGACGGUACCGGAAGAAUAAGCACCGGCUAACUACGUGCCAGCAGCCGCGGUAAUACGUAGGGUGCGAGCGUUAAUCGGAAUUACUGGGCGUAAAGCGUGCGCAGGUGGUUUUUUAAGUCAGACGUGAAAUCCCCGGGCUUAACCUGGGAACUACGUUUGAAACUGGAAGACUAGAGUGUGGCAGAGGGGGGUGGAAUUCCUGGUGUAGCAGUGAAAUGCGUAGAGAUCAGGAGGAACACCGAUGGCGAAGGCAGCCCCCUGGGCUAACACUGACGCUCAUGCACGAAAGCGUGGGGAGCAAACAGGAUUAGAUACCCUGGUAGUCCACGCCCUAAACUAUGUCAACUGGUUGUUGGGAGAGUUAAAUCUCUUAGUAACGAAGCUAACGCGUGAAGUUGACCGCCUGGGGAGUACGGCCGC